This 348-nucleotide unclassified non-coding RNA is filed under the name soil metagenome. Its description in RNAcentral is "partial contains 5.8S ribosomal RNA, internal transcribed spacer 2, and large subunit ribosomal RNA". The stretch from base 1 to 120 matches the Rfam family "5.8S ribosomal RNA", at positions 35 to 154 of the family's 154-position model. The record is from RNAcentral.
GAUGAAGAACGUAGCGAAAUGCGAUAAGUAAUGUGAAUUGCAGAAUUCAGUGAAUCAUCGAAUCUUUGAACGCACAUUGCACCCAUCAGUAUUCUGUUGGGCAUGCCUGUCCGAGCGUCAUUUCAACCCUCAGGGCCCGUUCGCGGGAACUGGUGUUGGGGAUCGGCCUCCCCCCGGAGGCCGGCCCCGAAAUGCAGUGGCGGCUCUACCGCGAUCUCCUCUGUGUAGUAGCGAUACCUCGCAGCUGGAUAGUGGUGGUGCCACGCCGUAAAAUCCCAACUUUACCAAGGUUGACCUCGGAUCAGGUAGGAAUACCCGCUGAACUUAAGCAUAUCAAUAAGCGGAGGA